This 394-nucleotide ribosomal RNA is filed under the name uncultured bacterium. Its description in RNAcentral is "bacterial SSU rRNA". It matches the Rfam family "Bacterial small subunit ribosomal RNA", at positions 28 to 424 of the family's 1533-position model. The record is from RNAcentral.
GGCGAACGCUGGCGGCGUGCUUAACACAUGCAAGUCGAGCGGUAAGGCCCCUUCGGGGGUACACGAGCGGCGAACGGGUGAGUAACACGUGAGCAACCUACCCUCAACUUCGGGAUAAGCCUCGGAAACGGGGUCUAAUACCGGAUAUCACUUUCCACCUCAUGGUGGGGGGUUGAAAGUUCUGGCGGUUGGGGAUGGGCUCGCGGCCUAUCAGCUUAGUUGGUGGGGGUAAUGGCCUACCAAGGCGUCGACGGGUAGCCGGCCUGAGAGGGCGACCGGCCACACUGGGACUGAGACACGGCCCAGACUCCUACGGGAGGCAGCAGUGGGGAAUAUUGCGCAAUGGACGAAAGUCUGACGCAGCAACGCCGCGUGAGGGAUGACGGCCUUGGUU